UCGGCUUUAGACUACCGUUAUGCAUACUCCGUCUUGGAGCUAGCCAAAGCCAAGUCUUUGCCAAGGGGCAUUACCGGAGCAAAGAAAUGGUCUGGCCAAUCUCUUCCCUGGCCAACCCCCUGCUAUGGAGAUUGCAAAGGUUGCACCUGGGAUUCCCCCAUCCUUAGAUGGCUGGGUAAGCCAGCUUUACAACCCCUUUGCACUGGUGAAGUUGUCCAAAGGGGUCAUGGAGCCAGGACCUGGACCUACAAGUUUACAAGACUACAUGGUGAGGAGUCUACAAACAGACUGUGGGCUUGUCAAUUUAUUGCAUCUAGUCUAGACGUGGUAAAUCAACUGCAGAGCGCUCUCCCGUUAACUCGGAGUGUGAGGUGCAGGCAGAGUCGACGGGGGAGCAUCAGCCUUCGAAGACACCGCGGUAAGUAGAUCUAAGUACGUCAACUUCAGCUACGUUAUUUACAUAGCUGAAGUUGCGUAACUUAGAUCUAUUUCACACACACACACCCAGUUUAGACCAGAUUAACACUAAUUUAGUUCCCAUUACUAUUCUCUAGUUCCUUACCCAUAAUUCCCUAACAGCAAAGGUAAAACUAUUCUUAAAACAACCUACCAAAAUGCUAUCCAUCUCUGCCCAGAGUGGGUAAAAUCUUAUUAGUUAUUUUCAUUUUCCUCACUCAUCCUGAUAAAAUGGAAAGAAUAGAUUUUGUGCCUGGACUUGUAAAUGUUCACAACAAUUUUUGCAAUGUUGCUUAACGCUAAAACUUAUUAGCACAUAAGCCUUUUACAAGUGCACAGCUAUAGAUACUAGCCCACACCUAACACCCUAGUCAGGCCAUUUAAAUAUUCCUGUCAUCAAACAGUUACAGAUCAUCAUGUGACACUUAGAAGGUCAAGUGCAUUUCUGGUGGCUCGAACCCAUGGUGUUGCUCUCCACCUUUUCCCAGUGAAAGAAAUCCUCUUUAGCUGUUCUCUCCCUCAACUUCACACUUACAAAAAUGUCAUCAUUGGAUAAUAUUAAACAAAAUUAAAUACAUGUAAAUAGUAGAUGGAUAAAUGCAUCCCAAUAAAAAUAAGUUAAACGAAUUGAAAUUGCUGGGU
This 1098-nucleotide long non-coding RNA is filed under the name Chrysemys picta bellii (western painted turtle). RNAcentral's name for it is "lncRNA (ENSCPBG00000022370.1)". The record is from RNAcentral. Lineage: Eukaryota; Metazoa; Chordata; Testudines; Emydidae.